Ipomoea triloba (trilobed morning glory) is the source of this 497-nucleotide long non-coding RNA. RefSeq lists it as uncharacterized. The record is from RefSeq and is a predicted model, not a curated record. NCBI's taxonomy places the organism in Eukaryota, Viridiplantae, Streptophyta, Magnoliopsida, Solanales, Convolvulaceae. The transcript has 3 exons.
ACCUCUCAUCAAACCCCAAAAUGUAUUCGUGAUUCUUUUGUCUGGGUUGUGUUUGAUAUUUUGACUCAAUGAAAUGCCCUUUGCACUUAUGGUUACCUGCAAUUUGUUGGUUGUUUCUUUUGCUGGGUUGUUACUGUUUGAGUGGUAGAGAUCAAGAGAGAGAUAGGAUAUCAUCUUUGCCGAGGCAGCCACACAAUGUUGGUUUGUGAAUGAACAAGCUGGGAGGGCACUGUUUUUUACUGGUUGAUUGAGUCUCUGGGUGUUCUUCUAUAGCUUAUGGAGCUGCUGAGGAGAUUGGGUUGUUUCACAUUAAUGCCAAUGGAAAGACUCUUUACCUCAAUCCUCAUUCAUGGAACAAGUUGGCAAACCUGCUUUUUCUUGAAUCACCAACUGGUGUUGGUUUCUCAUACUCAAAUACAAUAUCAGAUUUGUAUACUGCAAGCGAUCAAAGAACGGGUUUGCUAUGUCCUGGAGAUCAAUUUUUGGUGCUCUCCUCU